This 336-nucleotide long non-coding RNA is filed under the name Trifolium pratense (red clover). RNAcentral describes it as "long non-coding RNA (TPRA_LNC008213)". Lineage: Eukaryota; Viridiplantae; Streptophyta; Magnoliopsida; Fabales; Fabaceae. The record is from RNAcentral.
UAGCUCUUUUAAGCAGCAAGAAACUAUCAAAUAACUUGGAAAUGAAUAAGGAACUAAAUUCACAUAUAUUAAAUUUUCCAUCUAAGGCACCAAGGGUCUUCACCAUUUACAUGUUAGGUUAUGAAGCAUUCACAUGUAGAUUGCAUUCAGAAUCAUGAAACCCUAAAAUAGCAUGCGAUAUUCCGUGUAGAUUUUAGGGGACAGUUCAAAUCUAAUUUCUAGGGUUCGAGUAAUCAUACAUGAAAACGAAUAAAACACUUGGAGGAUUCUUCGGCUUGUUAGGAUCCUUAGCGACUUUGUUCAUUUGUUUCCUUCAUGUUCCUGCACCCUUACUCU